This is a long non-coding RNA of Gambusia affinis (western mosquitofish), 1294 nucleotides long. RefSeq lists it as uncharacterized. The transcript has 3 exons. The record is from RefSeq and is a predicted model, not a curated record. Lineage: Eukaryota; Metazoa; Chordata; Actinopteri; Cyprinodontiformes; Poeciliidae.
GAACAACAUUUGAGGAAGAGGGACACUUCACUGUCUGGACAUGGAAAUAAGAUGUUUUUCAGCGUGAAAGCAGAUGAUUUCAGACUUGAGUCUUUUUUCAUCAUCUUUCGGUUUCUGUUAUCAACAUUGUUGACAAAGGCUUGAAUACUUAAACAUUUAUUGGGGAUAUGGUUUACAAACAGAAGUUUAAUUAACAUUUGCAUGAGGUCAUGCAAAUGUUAAUUAAACAAAUGUUUUUUGAGUUUCAGGGAGCAAAGAGACAAAACUACUUGCCCUCUGAACAGGGAACAAGUCUCUUCAUCACCAAGGCUACAGCCAGAUAAAGUCACAUGAGCAACAACCAGAUGUUACUACUGGUGGAAACGACAAAGAAGAUGACAGGAAGUGGUAGGAGGAGGAUGGAACGGGAUGUUUGUUUAUGACUUAUCACGUUACAAAAAGUUUGUCUUUGGGAAGACAGGAUGAAGUUUACAUCCUCUUUGGGCUUUCUCCACAUCACUUCCUCUCAGGAGUUUAUACUACAUCUCAGCUGUUGUGAUGUCCAACAGGUGUUCUGGGUUUUGUCCGGACACAAUUGGACAGACCUGCAACCCAUCAAGCCCACGAUUCGUGACGUAGCGAUGAGCGCCGCAACUCACUGGCAAACUCUUACUGUACCCAACCCGCAUCCGCGAUUGGCCGUCCUGACUGAAGCUGGGAGGAAACCUGUUUGGACUGGAGGGAGGCCAGUCCUGGUCUGCCAGAGCAAACGAAACACUAACCCUCAACUUCGUCUGGUUCCCAUAGCCGGUUGCUUAAAUGUUGGAUAUAAUCUGUGAUGGUGUUACAGAUACACUUUAGAGCUGCUUUGUUUUUCCUCGUUUUCAUCCAUUUAACCCCGUCAUCACCUCAGAGCCUGAUAGCUGCAGUCAGCUGUUUAAGCAUGAAGGAAAAAUAGUUGAGCUAAGCUUGUCACCAAUAACCUACAGGAUCCUAACUAUGCCAGGACAGGAGUUCUUGAUGUUGCAAAAAAAAAAAAAAAAAAAGAAAGAUGAAAUUACCACCUAGUUAGCUUCCCCAAAACAACACCAGCAACUGUCUAAUUAUCCAAAUAAAUCUGUAGAGCUUCGAACACACUAAUAAACUGUUGCACUGAGUGACAGGAAAUGCACCUAAAACAAGGAAGCUGUCAGAUGAAACAAUAUAAAUGGGUCUUAAAGGGUCAGUAUUAUGUGUUUUCUAGCCACCGAGGGUCAUUUUAUAGCACAAUCAAGUAACUAUGUUACCUUCAGUUGUUAUAAAAAAAAAUGCCAUG